RNAcentral lists this ribosomal RNA (253 nucleotides) under uncultured bacterium. RNAcentral describes it as "partial 16S ribosomal RNA". It matches the Rfam family "Bacterial small subunit ribosomal RNA", at positions 524 to 776 of the family's 1533-position model. The record is from RNAcentral.
GACAGAGGGUGCAAACGUUGUUCGGAAUUACUGGGCGUAAAGCGUGUGUAGGCGGCCAUAUAAGUCGGAUGUGAAAGCCCAGGGCUCAACCCUGGAAGUGCACUCGAUACUGUAUGGCUCGAGUACUGGAGAGGUUGGUGGAAUUCUCGGUGUAGAGGUGAAAUUCGUAGAUAUCGAGAGGAACACCGGUGGCGAAGGCGGCCAACUGGACAGAUACUGGCGCUGAGGCACGAAAGCGUGGGGAGCAAACAGG